Molecule: long non-coding RNA, 642 nt
Organism: Carassius auratus (goldfish)
Lineage: Eukaryota; Metazoa; Chordata; Actinopteri; Cypriniformes; Cyprinidae
Exons: 3
Source: RefSeq, a predicted model, not a curated record
CUUUUGUACUUCUUGCAGAUGUAUUUUCUUUUAUUUCUUUGACUUUGGCGACUGUGUUUCCAAUAGAAUUCCUAACCUCUCUUUUUUUUACUAUUCAUAAAAUAAAAUAAUCAAAUUAUUUUGUAAAGUGUUUUUCACAAUACAUGCCAUUUCAAAGCAGCCUUAUAGAAGAUGUGCAUGUCUCUAUUACAAUUUAGUCUGAUCUAUAAUAUAAAUAUACUUUUCAACUUCAAUGAGGUUGUGUGAUUUGAUUUAUAUUGUGAUGUUUCUUCUCUUCUCAGUUCUUACACACUGGAAGCAAUAUUGACAUUUCCUCACUGCUAUUCACAAUGUACUUUUAUUAAGUAUUUUGGGUGUAAUACAUUAUGAUUACUGGCUGAUGUAGUGGAAAGUAAAAGUUGUGUGAACCUGCCCUCUGACCUUCCCUAUUUUACUUUGUUAACAGACUGUUCUUGUGGAGUUUCCACACACAACUCGAGCGGCCAUCAGGCGCAAGUGCAACAAUGAGACUAUUCUCCAUCUCAUAAUUGUGUUGUUAAAAGCCAGGAAUGACAUGCUAACUGUCCAUGCUAGAAGGCCUUCAUCUUUCAUUAUCCAGCAGAUUCAUCAAGACUCGCAAGAGGAUUUGAGCAGUGAACUAGG